GAUGAACGCUGGCGGCGUGCCUAAUACAUGCAAGUCGAGCGCGUGAAAUUAAACAGAUCUCUUCGGAGUGACGUUUAAUGGAUCGAGCGGCGGAUGGGUGAGUAACACGUGGGCAACCUGCCUAUAAGACUGGGAUAACUUACGGAAACGUGAGCUAAUACCGGAUAAAACCUUUUGUCUCCUGACAAGAGGAUAAAAGAUGGCGCAAGCUAUCACUUAUAGAUGGGCCCGCGGCGCAUUAGCUAGUUGGUGAGAUAAAAGCUCACCAAGGCAACGAUGCGUAGCCGACCUGAGAGGGUGAUCGGCCACACUGGGACUGAGACACGGCCCAGACUCCUACGGGAGGCAGCAGUAGGGAAUCUUCCGCAAUGGACGAAAGUCUGACGGAGCAACGCCGCGUGAACGAAGAAGGUCUUCGGAUCGUAAAGUUCUGUUGUUAGGGAAGAACACGUACCAUUCGAAUAGGGUGGUACCUUGACGGUACCUAACGAGAAAGCCCCGGCUAACUACGUGCCAGCAGCCGCGGUAAUACGUAGGGGGCAAGCGUUGUCCGGAAUUAUUGGGCGUAAAGCGCGCGCAGGCGGUUCUUUAAGUCUGAUGUGAAAUCUUGCGGCUCAACCGCAAGCGGUCAUUGGAAACUGGAGAACUUGAGGACAGAAGAGGAGAGUGGAAUUCCACGUGUAGCGGUGAAAUGCGUAGAGAUGUGGAGGAACACCAGUGGCGAAGGCGACUCUCUGGUCUGUAACUGACGCUGAGGCGCGAAAGCGUGGGUAGCGAACAGGAUUAGAUACCCUGGUAGUCCACGCCGUAAACGAUGAGUGCUAGGUGUUAGGGGGUUUCCGCCCCUUAGUGCUGGCGUUAACGCAUUAAGCACUCCGCCUGGGGAGUACGGCCGCAAGGCUGAAACU
RNAcentral lists this ribosomal RNA (908 nucleotides) under uncultured Amphibacillus sp. RNAcentral's name for it is "bacterial SSU rRNA". It matches the Rfam family "Bacterial small subunit ribosomal RNA", at positions 28 to 901 of the family's 1533-position model. The record is from RNAcentral. Lineage: Bacteria; Bacillati; Bacillota; Bacilli; Caryophanales; Bacillaceae.